UACGGGGGGAGCAAGCGUUGUUCGGAUUUACUGGGCGUAAAGGGCGCGUAGGCGGCCACCGCAAGUCGACUGUGAAAUCUCCGGGCUUAACCCGGAAAGGUCAGCCGAUACUGCGGGGCUAGAGUGCAGAAGGGGCAACUGGAAUUCUCGGUGUAGCGGUGAAAUGCGUAGAUAUCGAGAGGAACACCUGCGGCGAAGGCGGGUCUCUGGGCCGAUACUGACGCUGAGGCGCGAAAGCUAGGGGAGCAAACGGG
Molecule: ribosomal RNA, 254 nt
Filed under: uncultured bacterium
Lineage: Bacteria
Description: partial 16S ribosomal RNA
Rfam family: Bacterial small subunit ribosomal RNA
Source: RNAcentral